This 71-nucleotide small nuclear RNA is filed under the name Heterocephalus glaber (naked mole-rat). RNAcentral's name for it is "U4 spliceosomal RNA". It matches the Rfam family "U4 spliceosomal RNA". From Rfam's summary of the family: U4 small nuclear RNA (U4 snRNA) is a component of the major U2-dependent spliceosome. The structure of U4 snRNA from yeast and human has been reported. U4 snRNA presents a k-turn RNA motif in the 5p-SL related to recognition of Snu13 protein. The record is from Rfam by way of RNAcentral. Lineage: Eukaryota; Metazoa; Chordata; Mammalia; Rodentia; Bathyergidae.
AGCCUUGCACAGUGGCAGUGUUGUAGCCAAUGAGGUUUAUCUGAGACGCAAUUAUUGCUAGUUAAUAUAUC